CAGCCGCCGCGGGAAUACGAAGGGUGCAAGUGUUAAUCGGAAUUACUGGGCGUAAAGCGUGCGCAGGCGGUUCGUUAAGACAGAUGUGAAAUCCCCGGGCUUAACCUGGGAACUGCAUUUGUGACUGGCGAGCUAGAGCAUGGCAGAGGGGGGUAGAAUUCCACGUGUAGCAGUGAAAUGCGUAGAGAUGUGGAGGAAUACCGAUGGCGAGGGCAGCCCCCUGGGCCAAUACUGACGCUCAUGCACGAAAGCGUGGGGAGCAAACAGGAUUAGAUACCCCCGUAGUCCCUGUCUCUUAUAC
RNAcentral lists this ribosomal RNA (301 nucleotides) under uncultured bacterium. RNAcentral describes it as "partial 16S ribosomal RNA". It matches the Rfam family "Bacterial small subunit ribosomal RNA", at positions 509 to 807 of the family's 1533-position model. The record is from RNAcentral.